RNAcentral lists this ribosomal RNA (2931 nucleotides) under Escherichia coli O145:H25 str. 07-3858. RNAcentral describes it as "bacterial LSU rRNA". It matches the Rfam family "Bacterial large subunit ribosomal RNA". Lineage: Bacteria; Pseudomonadati; Pseudomonadota; Gammaproteobacteria; Enterobacterales; Enterobacteriaceae. The record is from RNAcentral.
GGGUUGUGAGGUUAAGCGACUAAGCGUACACGGUGGAUGCCCUGGCAGUCAGAGGCGAUGAAGGACGUGCUAAUCUGCGAUAAGCGUCGGUAAGGUGAUAUGAACCGUUAUAACCGGCGAUUUCCGAAUGGGGAAACCCAGUGUGUUUCGACACACUAUCAUUAACUGAAUCCAUAGGUUAAUGAGGCGAACCGGGGGAACUGAAACAUCUAAGUACCCCGAGGAAAAGAAAUCAACCGAGAUUCCCCCAGUAGCGGCGAGCGAACGGGGAGCAGCCCAGAGCCUGAAUCAGUGUGUGUGUUAGUGGAAGCGUCUGGAAAGGCGCGCGAUACAGGGUGACAGCCCCGUACACAAAAAUGCACAUGCUGUGAGCUCGAUGAGUAGGGCGGGACACGUGGUAUCCUGUCUGAAUAUGGGGGGACCAUCCUCCAAGGCUAAAUACUCCUGACUGACCGAUAGUGAACCAGUACCGUGAGGGAAAGGCGAAAAGAACCCCGGCGAGGGGAGUGAAAAAGAACCUGAAACCGUGUACGUACAAGCAGUGGGAGCACGCUUAGGCGUGUGACUGCGUACCUUUUGUAUAAUGGGUCAGCGACUUAUAUUCUGUAGCAAGGUUAACCGAAUAGGGGAGCCGAAGGGAAACCGAGUCUUAACUGGGCGUUAAGUUGCAGGGUAUAGACCCGAAACCCGGUGAUCUAGCCAUGGGCAGGUUGAAGGUUGGAUAACACUAACUGGAGGACCGAACCGACUAAUGUUGAAAAAUUAGCGGAUGACUUGUGGCUGGGGGUGAAAGGCCAAUCAAACCGGGAGAUAGCUGGUUCUCCCCGAAAGCUAUUUAGGUAGCGCCUCGUGAAUUCAUCUCCGGGGGUAGAGCACUGUUUCGGCAAGGGGGUCAUCCCGACUUACCAACCCGAUGCAAACUGCGAAUACCGGAGAAUGUUAUCACGGGAGACACACGGCGGGUGCUAACGUCCGUCGUGAAGAGGGAAACAACCCAGACCGCCAGCUAAGGUCCCAAAGUCAUGGUUAAGUGGGAAACGAUGUGGGAAGGCCCAGACAGCCAGGAUGUUGGCUUAGAAGCAGCCAUCAUUUAAAGAAAGCGUAAUAGCUCACUGGUCGAGUCGGCCUGCGCGGAAGAUGUAACGGGGCUAAACCAUGCACCGAAGCUGCGGCAGCGACGCUGAUGCGUUGUUGGGUAGGGGAGCGUUCUGUAAGCCUGCGAAGGUGUGCUGUGAGGCAUGCUGGAGGUAUCAGAAGUGCGAAUGCUGACAUAAGUAACGAUAAAGCGGGUGAAAAGCCCGCUCGCCGGAAGACCAAGGGUUCCUGUCCAACGUUAAUCGGGGCAGGGUGAGUCGACCCCUAAGGCGAGGCCGAAAGGCGUAGUCGAUGGGAAACAGGUUAAUAUUCCUGUACUUGGUGUUACUGCGAAGGGGGGACGGAGAAGGCUAUGUUGGCCGGGCGACGGUUGUCCCGGUUUAAGCGUGUAGGCUGGUUUUCCAGGCAAAUCCGGAAAAUCAAGGCUGAGGCGUGAUGACGAGGCACUACGGUGCUGAAGCAACAAAUGCCCUGCUUCCAGGAAAAGCCUCUAAGCAUCAGGUAACAUCAAAUCGUACCCCAAACCGACACAGGUGGUCAGGUAGAGAAUACCAAGGCGCUUGAGAGAACUCGGGUGAAGGAACUAGGCAAAAUGGUGCCGUAACUUCGGGAGAAGGCACGCUGAUAUGUAGGUGAAGUCCCUCGCGGAUGGAGCUGAAAUCAGUCGAAGAUACCAGCUGGCUGCAACUGUUUAUUAAAAACACAGCACUGUGCAAACACGAAAGUGGACGUAUACGGUGUGACGCCUGCCCGGUGCCGGAAGGUUAAUUGAUGGGGUCAGCGCAAGCGAAGCUCUUGAUCGAAGCCCCGGUAAACGGCGGCCGUAACUAUAACGGUCCUAAGGUAGCGAAAUUCCUUGUCGGGUAAGUUCCGACCUGCACGAAUGGCGUAAUGAUGGCCAGGCUGUCUCCACCCGAGACUCAGUGAAAUUGAACUCGCUGUGAAGAUGCAGUGUACCCGCGGCAAGACGGAAAGACCCCGUGAACCUUUACUAUAGCUUGACACUGAACAUUGAGCCUUGAUGUGUAGGAUAGGUGGGAGGCUUUGAAGUGUGGACGCCAGUCUGCAUGGAGCCGACCUUGAAAUACCACCCUUUAAUGUUUGAUGUUCUAACGUGGACCCGUGAUCCGGGUUGCGGACAGUGUCUGGUGGGUAGUUUGACUGGGGCGGUCUCCUCCUAAAGAGUAACGGAGGAGCACGAAGGUUGGCUAAUCCUGGUCGGACAUCAGGAGGUUAGUGCAAUGGCAUAAGCCAGCUUGACUGCGAGCGUGACGGCGCGAGCAGGUGCGAAAGCAGGUCAUAGUGAUCCGGUGGUUCUGAAUGGAAGGGCCAUCGCUCAACGGAUAAAAGGUACUCCGGGGAUAACAGGCUGAUACCGCCCAAGAGUUCAUAUCGACGGCGGUGUUUGGCACCUCGAUGUCGGCUCAUCACAUCCUGGGGCUGAAGUAGGUCCCAAGGGUAUGGCUGUUCGCCAUUUAAAGUGGUACGCGAGCUGGGUUUAGAACGUCGUGAGACAGUUCGGUCCCUAUCUGCCGUGGGCGCUGGAGAACUGAGGGGGGCUGCUCCUAGUACGAGAGGACCGGAGUGGACGCAUCACUGGUGUUCGGGUUGUCAUGCCAAUGGCACUGCCCGGUAGCUAAAUGCGGAAGAGAUAAGUGCUGAAAGCAUCUAAGCACGAAACUUGCCCCGAGAUGAGUUCUCCCUGACUCCUUGAGAGUCCUGAAGGAACGUUGAAGACGACGACGUUGAUAGGCCGGGUGUGUAAGCGCAGCGAUGCGUUGAGCUAACCGGUACUAAUGAACCGUGAGGCUUAACCUUACAACGCCGAAGGUGUUU